CAGCCGCCGCGGUAAUACGGAGGGCGCGAGCGUUACCCGGAUUUACUGGGCGUAAAGGGCGUGUAGGUGGCCUGGGGCGUCCCAUGUGAAAGGCCACGGCUCAACCGUGGAGGAGCGUGGGAUACGCUCAGGCUAGAGGGUGGGAGAGGGUGGUGGAAUUCCCGGAGUAGCGGUGAAAUGCGCAGAUACCGGGAGGAACGCCGAUGGCGAAGGCAGCCACCUGGUCCACUUCUGACGCUGAGGCGCGAAAGCGUGGGGAGCAAACCGGAUUAGAUACCCCCGUAGUCCCUGUCUCUUAUAC
This 301-nucleotide ribosomal RNA is filed under the name uncultured bacterium. RNAcentral describes it as "partial 16S ribosomal RNA". It matches the Rfam family "Bacterial small subunit ribosomal RNA", at positions 509 to 807 of the family's 1533-position model. The record is from RNAcentral.